AAGUCGUAACAAGGUUUCCGUAGGUGAACCUGCGGAAGGAUCAUUAAUGUGUAACUCUGGCUGUGCGCUCUCGGGCUGCACGCCGGUAACACUCAUCCACACCCGUGCACUUUCACGGUGUGAGGGCUUCACCGCUCUCCACCGCUUCACCACACACGUCGAAUGUCACGCAUGUCUUUGUUAUACAUCUAUACAACUUUCAGCAACGGAUCUCUUGGCUCUC
This 223-nucleotide unclassified non-coding RNA is filed under the name air metagenome. Its description in RNAcentral is "partial contains small subunit ribosomal RNA, internal transcribed spacer 1, and 5.8S ribosomal RNA". The stretch from base 1 to 46 matches the Rfam family "Eukaryotic small subunit ribosomal RNA", at positions 1786 to 1831 of the family's 1831-position model. The record is from RNAcentral.